GACGAACGCUGGCGGCGUGCUUAACACAUGCAAGUCGAACGAAGAGCGACGGAAGCUUGCUUCUAUCAAUCUUAGUGGCGAACGGGUGAGUAACGCGUAAUCAACCUGCCCUUCAGAGGGGGACAACAGUUGGAAACGACUGCUAAUACCGCAUACGAUCUAACCUCGGCAUCGAGGAUAGAUGAAAGGUGGCCUCUACAUGUAAGCUAUCACUGAAGGAGGGGAUUGCGUCUGAUUAGCUAGUUGGAGGGGUAACGGCCCACCAAGGCGAUGAUCAGUAGCCGGUCUGAGAGGAUGAAGGGCCACAUUGGGACUGAGACACGGCCCAGACUCCUACGGGAGGCAGCAGUGGGGAAUCUUCCGCAAUGGACGAAAGUCUGACGGAGCAACGCCGCGUGAGUGAUGACGGCCUUCGGGUUGUAAAGCUCUGUUAAUCGGGACGAAAGGCCUUCUUGCGAAUAGUGAGAAGGAUUGACGGUACCGGAAUAGAAAGCCACGGCUAACUACGUG
This 510-nucleotide ribosomal RNA is filed under the name uncultured bacterium. RNAcentral describes it as "partial 16S ribosomal RNA". It matches the Rfam family "Bacterial small subunit ribosomal RNA", at positions 28 to 507 of the family's 1533-position model. The record is from RNAcentral.